AGAAAGGAUUUUUUUGGAAGAAGAUUAUGAGAAUGAACAACUGUUAAAACUUCAUAAAGAAUUCUCAACAGAUUGCAGCAGUUAGAAACGCAUCUCUCAUGGAAAGCUUCUCAUUCAAACUGAUUUAUGGCUUUGAAAUGAAUAGUGUUACAUGCUAACGGGUAUCAAGGAAUGUGAUGUAGGUUCAUUGAAUUUGGAAUACUAAUUUUAUUUCAAAUUAUUUAUGGAAACCCGGUAAAAAAUAAAAAAGAGAUGCAGUUUUUAUUUAUGUUGGUUUUUAAAUUCUUUUCAAUUCCAUGUAGUAUACACAUUUAACAUUAAGUUCUCCUUUUUAUUAACUAAAAAUAAUUAUCUAUGUUUGAAUCACAUCAUAUCUUUAAAAUUACAUGCGUUAUAAGCACAUUUAAAAUUUAACUAGAUUUCAAUUGUGUUGUCAAAAUGCGAAAAACUAUAUAAGAAAAUAUAGGUAGAAGCAGUUUUGACCAAUUAUUUUCUUUAAAGUAAAACACAUUCGAUAAUUCUACGUGUCCUUAUCCUAUCUAGCUAAAAUUGACUAGUUGAAGAAUUAAAACUACACAGAAAACUAAAAUGAGUGCAUCAUGCCAAAGGCUUUGGCCGGCAGUAGAGUGUAGAUUUGGGUUUGUAUAUCUAGUGCUAUUUUCUCCAUUAUUAUCAAAGGCAAACUUAAAAGGGAGAGCUCUUACAGGUAUUCAAUAAUGGAACCCAAUAUCACCAUUCUAUUUCAUUAUUGUUGCAAAUUACAAAAAUAUUAAGACUUGAAAAAGGGCUUCAAUCAAGGAGGUUUAUGUUUCCAGCCUACUUUGUGGUUCAGGUAACUCAGCUGGUUAGAGCAAGGGGCUGAAAAUCCUUGUGUUCUUUGAAACUCGUUGAACGAGAAAUAUCUGUUCUUUCCAACAUUUGAUCCUUAAUUGACCUAGGAGUUGUUCCCGGGUAUACUAAAAAAAAAGGUUUUUAUACAUCCCAACCCCAUCCCUUGGAAAGAACAAGCCAGUCCAGUCGUCAG
This is a long non-coding RNA of Benincasa hispida (wax gourd), 1024 nucleotides long. RefSeq lists it as uncharacterized. Lineage: Eukaryota; Viridiplantae; Streptophyta; Magnoliopsida; Cucurbitales; Cucurbitaceae. The record is from RefSeq and is a predicted model, not a curated record.